UAAUAAUAUCAUAAUAAUGUUACUUCUCUCGUAUCAGUGAGAAACGUUCUAUUACUUCUAUGCUUCCAUGCAUGCGUCAAGCAGCGGAGAAGAAGAGUGCGGCAUACAAGCGACACCCGCUGGUCAAAGCCGUGCAAAUGUACUAAAUGUUACUAAAUGUAACUUAUAAACUGGUAACUAUUGGUUUUUGAGUUUCAAUGAGGGAGUCACACAGAGUGGAAUUGAGACUUUAACAUCUUUUGGCAAUAAAAUACAUUUUAGACGCACAGCUAUUUUGUGCACAUUGCUCUCAAACACAGAAUAAAGAACACAUUUCUAUCUUCAGUUGAACGAACACCAGAACAUACUUGAUUGUAGAGCUGUUUUAUAUGUCUAUGAAAUGGCAGAAGCCAGUAUUUUAUGGGCGCAGGAUCAGUUCAGCUGUCCGAUCUGUCUGGAUCUACUGAAGGAUCCUGUGACCAUCCCCUGUGGACACAGUUACUGUAUGAACUGCAUCACAGACUGCUGGAAUCAAGAUGAUCAGAAGGGAGUUUACAGCUGCCCUCAGUGCAGACAGGCCUUUACUCAAAGACCUGCUUUAAACAAGAAUUUCACGAGUUUGUUUGCCCAUUCAGCCCUGCCAGAUAAUGGUAAACGAGCUUAGCUUGCUGUCCGAGAAGGAGGCUCGAACCCGAGGCUCGGCUCGAGCUCUGAGUAACAACCCCCCCAUGAUGGUACAGUGUGGAGGAAAAAGAUUAGGAAUUAGAGGAGGAGAAGUGGAGGUGGAGGGAUGCCGGAAGAACUGUUGCUCGAACGGAACAAUGACUGCUGCUUAUAUGUAUGUUAUAUGUAUUAUAGCUAUGAUUGACCGGACUGGAUGUUUAGGCUCCUCCCGAACCUGGAGUGUGGAGUGUGCCGUCUGCACUGGGAGAAAAUAUAAAGCCAUCAAGUGUCUGGAGUCUUACUGUCAAACUCACUUUGAGUGUCACAAGGCUUUUUGCACAGGUAAAUGACACGAGAUAACUGAUGCCUCUGGACGAAUCCAGAAGAUGAUCUGCCCUCUACAUGAUAAACUGCUGGAGGUUUACUGUCGUGCUGACAAGAAGUGUACUGUGUAUGAUGGAUGAACAUAAAAAUCGCAUCACUGUAUCAUCUACAUCAGAAAGGACAGAGAAACAGAAACUGUUGGAAGACAGACAGAGAAAGUUCCAGGAGAGAGAGAAAGUGCUUCGGGAGCUGAAAGAGGUUUUGGAGACUCAUAAGCGCUCUGCCAGUACAGACAGUGAGAGGAUCUUUAUUGAACUGAUCUGCUCCAUUAAGAGAAGCUGCUCUGAGGUGACACAGAUGAUCAGAGAUUGAGAAAAGGCUCAAGUGAGGCGAGCUGAAAGACUCUUGAAGCAACUGCAGCAGGAGAUUGAUGAUCUGAGGAGGAGAGACGCUGACCUGGAGCAGCUUUCACACACUGAUGAUCACAUCCAUUUCCUACAGAGCUUUCAGUCUCCCUGAACCUCCAGAAUCUACAGAACUAAUCAGUGUUACUAUUCCCAUCAGAUCUCUCUCACAGAGCAGGAAUUCUAUCCUUCUACAGCGUCUCUGACACCAAUGACACUCAUCCAGAGAGUCCAGACCACAUUCACUCAGCCACUCUAUUCUGGGAUUUGGAUUUCUGAACAACAGUGAAACUGUGUCAUCAAUAAAGUUAUGUAGUAUAAAAUCACUGAAUAAUCAAUAAAUAAUAAUCUCAUCAGAUGAAUCUAAUAACAGUGUAACUGCGAGAUAAGUGCAAAUAUGUCACUACAUGGCAGUAAUUAUAUAAGUAUAAGCUUUGAUCUCCUUAUGGAGCCAAAAUUCAGGAACUCUCUCAAAACAGAUGCCAUGCAACAAAACAAUAAAACUAAUCUGGAGAAAAGAUCUCCAAAAAGAGCAAAUGACACCACCUUGCCCUAACUUCUCUCCUUGUUCAUUUAUGACCCCCCUCUCCCCUCUCCCCCUCCCCCUCCCCAACAGACUUCACUGAAAGUUCACCAAGAAUAUCUAUCUAUAUACCACAUAUGAUGUAUCUUGUGAAUCUGUUAUUUUUCAUGUCAUGUUUAGUAUCAUUGUAGGUCUCUGUGCGAUUGGUAAAAUGGUCUCAAUUUCACAGCAGUCUAUUAUAUUAUGAGUAAGAUUGAAAACUUUAGAAUAAUUCUGUUCUGCUGCUGAGGGGUGUCUCCCUCAGGGUCUGGUGAGAAUGUUUUUUCUUCUCCGGCCAGGUGUGACCCUUGGG
Molecule: long non-coding RNA, 2245 nt
Organism: Sinocyclocheilus rhinocerous
Lineage: Eukaryota; Metazoa; Chordata; Actinopteri; Cypriniformes; Cyprinidae
Exons: 5
Source: RefSeq, a predicted model, not a curated record